GAUGAACGCUGGCGGCGUGCCUAAUACAUGCAAGUCGAGCGAACGGACGAGAAGCUUGCUUUUCUGAUGUUAGCGGCGGACGGGUGAGUAACACGUGGAUAACCUACCUAUAAGACUGGGAUAACUUCGGGAAACCGGAGCUAAUACCGGAUAAUAUUUUGAACCGCAUGGUUCAAAAGUGAAAGACGGUCUUGCUGUCACUUAUAGAUGGAUCCGCGCUGCAUUAGCUAGUUGGUAAGGUAACGGCUUACCAAGGCAACGAUGCAUAGCCGACCUGAGAGGGUGAUCGGCCACACUGGAACUGAGACACGGUCCAGACUCCUACGGGAGGCAGCAGUAGGGAAUCUUCCGCAAUGGGCGAAAGCCUGACGGAGCAACGCCGCGUGAGUGAUGAAGGUCUUCGGAUCGUAAAACUCUGUUAUUAGGGAAGAACAUAUGUGUAAGUAACUGUGCACAUCUUGACGGUACCUAAUCAGAAAGCCACGGCUGACUACGUGCCAGCAGCCGCGGUAAUACGUAGGUGGCAAGCGUUAUCCGGAAUUAUUGGGCGUAAAGCGCGCGUAGGCGGUUUUUUAAGUCUGAUGCGAAAGCCCACGGCUCAACCGUGGAGGGUCAUUGGAAACUGGAAAACUUGAGUGCAGAAGAGGAAAGUGGAAUUCCAUGUGUAGCGGUGAAAUGCGCAGAGAUGUGGAGGAACACCAGUGGCGAAGGCGACUUUCUGGUCUGUAACUGACGCUGAUGUGCGAAAGCGUGGGGAUCAAACAGGAUUAGAUACCCUGGUAGUCCACGCCGUAAACGAUGAGUGCUAAGUGUUAGGGGGUUUCCGCCCCUUAGUGCUGCAGCUAACGCAUUAAGCACUCCGCCUGGGGAGUACGACCGCAAGGUUGAAACUCAAAGGAAUUGACGGGGGCCCGCACAAGCGGUGGAGCAUGUGGUUUAAUUCGAAGCAACGCGAAGAACCUUACCAAAUCUUGACAUCCUUUGACAACUCUAGAGAUAGAGCCUUCCCCUUCGGGGGACAAAGUGACAGGUGGUGCAUGGUUGUCGUCAGCUCGUGUCGUGAGAUGUUGGGUUAAGUCCCGCAACGAGCGCAACCCUUAAGCAUAGUUGCCAUCAUUAAGUUGGGCACUCUAAGUUGACUGCCGGUGACAAACCGGAGGAAGGUGGGGAUGACGUCAAAUCAUCAUGCCCCUUAUGAUUUGGGCUACACACGUGCUACAAUGGACAAUACAAAGGGCAGCGAAACCGCGAGGUCAAGCAAAUCCCAUAAAGUUGUUCUCAGUUCGGAUUGUAGUCUGCAACUCGACUACAUGAAGCUGGAAUCGCUAGUAAUCGUAGAUCAGCAUGCUACGGUGAAUACGUUCCCGGGUCU
Molecule: ribosomal RNA, 1372 nt
Filed under: uncultured bacterium
Lineage: Bacteria
Description: bacterial SSU rRNA
Rfam family: Bacterial small subunit ribosomal RNA
Source: RNAcentral